RNAcentral lists this ribosomal RNA (119 nucleotides) under Callithrix jacchus (white-tufted-ear marmoset). Lineage: Eukaryota; Metazoa; Chordata; Mammalia; Primates; Cebidae. The record is from RNAcentral.
GCCUACGCCCAUACCACCCUGAAUGCACCUGAUCUUGUCUGAUUUUGGAAGCUAAGCAGGGUCGGGCCUAGCUUAGUACUUAGAUGGGAGAACACCUGGGAUGCCAGGUGCUGUAGGCU